Molecule: long non-coding RNA, 601 nt
Organism: Cercocebus atys (sooty mangabey)
Lineage: Eukaryota; Metazoa; Chordata; Mammalia; Primates; Cercopithecidae
Exons: 4
Source: RefSeq, a predicted model, not a curated record
GGUGACGAUGGCCCACAGCAGGGAGUCAAAGUUCUUUCUGUCGGGCACGGUGUCUCCGGUGUCUGUCUUCAGGCUGAACUUGCAACCGAAAAGGCGAGAGGAACAAGACCAGAGGCGGAACAGACGUGGGGAGACCACUCUGGCUUCGGGCGGCAACUGGGACCUGGAACACCUGCCUCAUUCAGCCCCUCUGGACCGAGAGAACCCCGCCUGUCUGGCUUCUUACCCUCCAGCUGACCCUGACCCUGAGCUCCAGGCUAGACUGGCACCCAGCGGGCGCUCAGAACAGCCCAGUUGGAGCCUGAUGCCCAUCCCCACCCCCAGCAUUCUACCCUUAUUUCACAAAUGCUCCCGCUACGGCAAACAUGAUUCAGCCUCUUAAGCUGGUCUUUCUCGCUGGGUCUGGCCCCAAACAGCUCAGCCCUGAGGCUACUGCACACCUGCAUUGUUCCUGCAGGGAACAGCUCUUCUAGUUUCCAGAAACAUCCUUCUGAGAUGCAGCUGACCUAACAGGUGGAUUCUUUGCCAGACAGUGGAGCUUCCCGGGCCCCUCUGGCCUGGGGAGCGGGUGGGGACCCACCUGAUGACCACGAUGAUGCCG